Molecule: long non-coding RNA, 11614 nt
Organism: Oreochromis aureus
Lineage: Eukaryota; Metazoa; Chordata; Actinopteri; Cichliformes; Cichlidae
Source: Ensembl
UGUUCCUUCUUUUUGAGAGGGAGAAAUGCAGACAGUCCUUGCAGCUGCUGCCUAAACAAGUGAAAAAAUAUUUAAAAAACAAGCCAGAAGUCUGCAUGAAGCCAUUUUUGUACUCUGGAGAAUAUAUGUUUGUUUUUCCGAUCUGUCCUUGCCUUGGUGACGUUGUGAACGUAACUGAACGGGACUUGGUCCCUGCUGUGACUACAGUAUCAGCCCUGGUCCCACUGUGGAUCUUUCUUGGAGCCCCUGGGUGACUCCCACAGUGGAGGAGGGGCUCUUUGUCACAGUGGCUGACCCAGCUCCUGCACCUGGACUCUGGACCCUGCUCCAGGUCAUCCACACAAACUCCACAGGAGGUCAGGAGAACAUUUGGAGCUGGUGUUCCUCACACGUAGUGGGAAUAUAUUCAGCUCAGUUUUCCUGCUGGGAUUACAUUUGACUCGAGCAGGCAUAGCUGGGAAUGAGGAGACACCACAUCACUGUGAUUGUUGUUGUACAAUCUGUUUAUUCAUGCACUGCUGCAGCUGGUGAUGUCACAGUGUUCAUGUUUCAUGUGUGUGUAAAUGUUUUACUUUAUAUGAUGUUUAGAAAAGCAGUCAAACACUCGUACUUCCAUAAAACUCUACAGCAGAUUAAAUGGUUACAUCCACCUUUAAACGUCCACACUGAUGAAGCAACAACAGGUUUGAACCCCCUGUGUGUAACAUCACUGGGGCUGUGCGCUAUGACCAUGAGCUCAUAUCCUAUCGUCCUGCACACCUCUGUUGUUUGUGAAGCUCGCACACAAGAAUUUCACUCACAUGUACUGUACCAGUGUACCUGCACUUAUUUCAAUCAGACAUGCUGUCAGUAAAUGAUUGGUUUCUAUUGAUUCUACUUCCUGUUGACUAGUUUGAUGACAGUGAAACAAUCACAGCUGAUUGUGUGAUGAUGUAAACUGUCACUGUUACAUUCAGUGUGUGUGACAUCAUGUUAGUGCAGGCUGAUAACAGCCUGGUUAUGAUGCUGUUAGAAACACAUGAACGUGUCCAUAGAUCAGUGUGUGUUUAACAUGAGAGCUUCAGCCCUGCUGAUGUGUUCAAUAAUGAUGUGUUCCCUCUAUGCUUACGGAUCUAUGACAAAAGUAUGAGCUCAAACUGACAUGGCCUACCUUGUGCACAGAGAAAGCAAAAGCCAGAUGUGUUUUUCAUUCAUACCAUCAGUGUGUAGUUGGUGCAUUGUGUGCUUAUUAAUUUGAUGGCUUGUGUUUACUGUCUGAUACAAAAAUACCAUUUUUACAAAGGUGUGGUGAGUUAAGCAAAGGUUAUUCGCUUUUACAAGAAAACUACAAUGUUUUGCUGAUUGGGUGAAGAGUUUUCUUAUUUGUGUGUAGAGUUUUGCAAAAAUAGCCAAUAGUUACAAAAAAUGUGCUCAAGCCAUCAGAAAAAACUGUAAUACAGGGGCUCAAAAACAACUAACAUCUUUAUUAUAGCGCUCGGAGUCUGAUGUUGGCUCAUGUGUUGUCAUACACCAACAUGAGGUUCUACUAGUCAAGGCCUCACCUUAACCCACUGAUGCUGAUCACACAGACCCACUAAUAGAACUGUUUGAUCAGGUUUAUGCAGCGUCACCAUUAAUGUCACAUUUAAUCAGACACAUUUACAUUACAAGCCCAGUACAACCAUUAUCAGCAUGUUACAUUACAUUAUACAUCUGCACUGAUUUAAAGUAUUUUAACCUGAUUCAUUGUUUCAGGAGGAGAUUUCCAUCAAACACUGGAUUCUGAUUCAGAUCAAACUAACAAUCCAAAGCAGCAACUUUCAAAUCACUGGAUUCUUCUUGGUGGCUUUCAGAUGAGCUCAUGUUACAAUCAGCUGCUGUGUGUGUGUUGUUGUGUAGCUGAAGCUCUGACUCACAUUUCAUAUGUGACCAAAGGAAACUUGGUGCUGUGUGACACACUUUAGAUUCUCUGCUGCUGCUUUGAACUCUUCAAACUAAAGAGCCAAACUGAUGAUUGACUGUGCAGCUCUGACAUGGCACCAAAUGUCCCUGUUAUCAGCUGCUGGAUGGACGUUAUCAGAGCUUUUUAGUCCCACACGGAUCACCAGGAGCUCCUCCUCGGUCUGCAAACAGGCUCAGCAGCUCUGAUCAUUCAUUGGAGUCAGCACAGAGUGUGGAGACAUCUAGUGGUCGUGGAGAGUAGCGCGAUCAAAGCUCUGCUGGUGAAUGUAGUUACUGUAAGGUCUCUGAUGGAGCUCUGUGAUUGGUGGAUUGUCCAAACUAAAUUAAGUUUCUUUGUCCUCUGAUAAACCAUGAAUGGACCGAUCAGCUGAUCAGCAGUCAGGACAUCAGUGUCGUGACACGAGUACUGGAUCAAAUGUGACCCUGAGCUUUGUUUUGACCAACAAAGUUCACAUCCUGCUUCUUCUUCCAGUUCAAACAUGCAAAAGUUCAUUGGUUUCCACAGCAGAGCCUGACACAGCGCUCCACGCCUUCUCCUCAUCACAUUUGUGCUUCCUGACGUGCAGCUGCUUCCUAAACUUCCAGACUUCUAACUUUAUUCAUAGGGAGGAGAUCACUCCACUGCACUGCAGACAGACUUCACACUUUCAUGAAUUCCUUCUAAGGCCUGAUGUGGCUUUGCUUCCUGCUACAGGACACAUUUAUUCACACCUUAUGAACCAAUCAGGAGCCUCCUACCUGUUCCCACAGCCGCCUCAUUAAUAAAAGGAAGUCAGUGUUUCUGUGAGCCGACGAGCUGAACUCAGACUUUUCGCUUAUGCCACGUCUUAUUUCUUUCUUUAUUGUAUUUAUUUAUUUGACCUGCACAGUGAUUUUAUUUCUAUAUGUAGAUAUUUGAUAUUCUGUAACUGAAGCUGUGUCCACGUUUGAUCUCAAAGUGACACAUGGACUCUGUCUGUGUCCUCAGUUUCCCAGCAUGCCUCGGCUGUGGAGCUGAGGGAGAGCUGUUUGUCCUGCUGCCCUGUGAGUUUCCCACUUUUGAACUGGACAGCCCCACAGUGGUGUGGAGUCGCUCCGACCUCAGUCCUCCAACCGUCCACCAGCAUCAAGGAGACGAACUGAAAGAUCCAAACCAGCGUUACAGCGGCCGAACAUCCAUGAAGACUGACGCUCUGGAAACUGGAGACCUCAGCCUGAACCUGACCAACCUCCACCUGUCUGACAGCGCCACCUACACCUGCUCCGUCAGAUCAUUUAGACUGAGAGAUGUCCCACUGCAGGUCAAAGAACCAUUUCCAUCCUGGGCCACAGCUCUGCUGGUUCUGCUGGUUCUGCUGGCUCUUCUGGUUCUCCUGGUUCUGCUGGUUCUCCUGGUUCUUCUGGUUGUCCUGGUUCUCCUGGUUCUUGUUCUCAUCGUCUCUGGAGGUCUUUUAUUUCAUUUCUGGCACUAUUUUAAGUCAGGUGAGUGUCUCCUACUACACUACCCAUAAUGCCGAUGGUUAGCAGGUAGGGGUGGGUUUUGAUUAGUGAUUAAAUCGAUUCUAGCUUGGAUAACAUCAUAUUGAUUCAUUAAAAUCCUGAAUCGAUUUUUAAAUAUAAAUGUAUUUUACCUGAAACGCCUGAAUCUCAGGUUAAAGCUCCCACAGUUUCAACAACCAUCAAACAGCUAAAACAGUAACUGAGAGCAGGAACACGGAUUCUGCACAAAGACGCAUCAGAAUCAGUUUCAUCUAAAAAUCUCUGUUUUCUGCAUUAUUGGCUUGUUGUUACCCACCAGUCUACCGUUGUUGACAGCGCUGUCGGCCGCUGGGUUUGUUGUUGUUUUUGAUUUAGUCUCAUUUCUGCUGCUCAAAACUGAACAAACUUUGUAAAAUGAUGCAAAACUGCAAAACUCUCAGCUGUGUCUGUAAUCAAACCUCUGUAACUUUGCUCUGCUUCACUUCAUCAGGUCAUGUUCACAUGUGUUUUUGUUCUACUGCAGAAUAGUUUUAAGGUCAUCUGCUAUAAAAAGCCAGGCCAGGAAAAUCUGCUUCAUGUUCUUCUGUUUUAUCCUCAGUGACUUUGACACAAAGGCCUCUGCUGUGAUGCUCACACCUCUGAUGAAGCCUCACAGUGUCAGCUUUCUUUUAUAGAUAUAAAAAUAUGGAAAUGAAUGAUAAUAUUUCUGACUGUCUGAGGCAAACUUCAGCGAUUAAAAGUGAAUGGAUUGUAGAAAUGAGUGAGGAUACUGUUAGGGUUCAAUGUUGAGAGAGGAAUCCAUAAAUAACCACAGAUCCAGCCGUGUGCAAUUUAGACGGCAUUUUAAUGAAUACACACGUGCGGAGUCCGAACGCUGUACAGAUUCAGCGUCGAACUGAACUUAAAAUAAUUAGACAAAGGUUUUAUAGAGGUGAGCAUUGUACCACCCCCUCUUCUGUUGUUAGGCAGAUUUAUACAGCAUACGUCACUCAAAACCACAAAUGUUCUGUCAACAACCUUUAACAUAGUUUUAAAGAACAUUGUCUUCGGGUCGGUGCUUCCCCUCAGCUCGUCUUGGCUAUCGCUUCCCUCUGGGAGAUCUGGUGCACUUCCUCUAAGUACUUCGGCACAAUUCUGCAAUUGCAGCAAAAACCCAUCUUCACUUCUUACUUACCAAAAUAGAUCUAUUAUGGUGUGUAUGUGUGUGUCUGCAGUGUAUGCUAUGUAUGUGUCAUGACCUCUCCUGCACUCCGGCUCACCUCACACCCCUCGUCCUAGCCAGACAUAAGGCCUGUGCUCGUGCACAGCUGAACUAUGUGUGACUUCUAAAUGUCACACUCAAAUGAUGAUACUCAAACCAUGAAGGAAACUUACUCAAACUGAACAUAAAUGAAACUUAAGACUUACUCAAAAGGAUAUAAGUGAUAAAUGAUACAAACUUAACUCUUAGCUCUAAAGAAUAUAAGGAUAUAAGGAUAUAACUCCAGGCAUAUGUCAUGUAAGCAGGUGUGUUGCCAUUCCUUUCAGAGCUCCUGUCCUCCUCACCAUGUAUUGGCUGAUCCUUAACGCCUGCCAAGAGUUUCUGACCUUCACUUGACCAGGAGCCACAGCUCUUUAAUAAGUUCAAAUGCAAUCAUGUAUAAAAGAUUAAAAUCAUUUUCAUAACACAGGUUUUCCUUCUCAGAUCUGCCAAUAUGUUUGCUCCUCCUAAUAUAGUCUAAAAGCAACCCCAAGCAAAGCAAUUUGAACUUUCCCCCUAUCAGUGAUCCCUCUAACUAAGUGUGUGUGUGUAUGUCUCGUCUGUCUGUGGGUGCACAGAGUGUGCAUCUGCUCUCUGAACAGUUUCACUUCUGCAAAAGCAUGGCUUGCAGACGCAUUUCCUGUCAGCCUGCAGUCAGCUUCUCACCCACUGAAGACUUCAGUAUAAGAAUACAAAACAUUCAAAAACCUUUAAAUUAUAGAUUCAACUCAACAAUUUAAAGUGGUUCUUACUGGACCUAUAAUAAAGACUUAUAUAAUACCAAUAUAUUUGAACAUCUGAAUGCAUCUGAAUGCAACAUCACUCUCAAUCAUGAAAUGUUAAUGAUGAUUAUACUAAUAGCAGCAAAUAAUAGCAGGAAAAUAUUUCUAUUCUUCACUGCCCUGUUAGCAGGUGUCCUCUGGUGGCUCCUUGACUGUCACACAAUAAUGUGCUGACAGGAAAUGUUGCAGCAGCUUCAGUAAAUGUUCCUCCCUGAGUUGUGCUCAGUCAUGUGGUGGAGAGCUUCAGAUGUUCAGAGCAGGAGAGCUCCAACAAGACCAGGACUGUGUAUUUUCCACCAUCUGCUGACAUCACAAUAUAACUGGUUACUGUUAGUAGUGCAGUGUCAGUGGGUGCAUUUGACCAAAACCAGAGUGGAAACGGUCACAGAUGUGGUGUUUCUUCAAGCAGGCUGUGAGGUGGGCAGCAAGCGGCUUCUCAACAAGCUUUGACCUGAAAGAGAAACUGAUCUAUAAUGUUGAUGUAAUGUUGGAUCUAAGCUGGGUUUGCUGAGCUUUGCUUCCACAACGGCAUGUUUGAAAAAGCUAGAACACUCCAGUCUGAAGAAAAGCGUUAAAAAGGUUUACAAGGCAAAAAGCUUUGUGGGGAGAAUCUCUGAGGGAGCUGCAGACGGCUGAUUCUCAUCAAAUGUCACAGGUGUAAAAGUAGAGCAGCAGUGAGCUGCCACAACAAGAAUGCUCUGGGGGGGUUUGUCAUUGAUUUCGUUGAUCUUAUCUACAGAAAAUCAGACUUUUGUUGCCGUCUGCUUUAGAGCCACAUUUAUAGGUGAGGCAGCUCGAGACGCAACAGCUGAUUUUGGAAUUUCUCCCAUUUUCUGAUCUGAGUUUUGUUUCUGAAGUUUCAAAUAGACUCAUUUAUCCAAUGGCACGUCCUCAAGUGAAGGUCAACAAAGACACAGUCGUGGUCACUCAAACCUACAUCCUCCGCAGACACGUUGCUGAUGCUGAGGCCCAAAGAAAGGAAGCGUGUGAGACAUGGCCAACUGUGGAGGCUCAGUCUGUCUGUUCUUCUGCUCUUCAUCCAACAUGUCUGCAGCACUUUACAGGACGCUGCAGACUAGUUACCAAAGAACGAGUCAGGAACACAUCAGGAACAAACUGAGACACACAAGUUUUACAGAGACCCAACGAAGAUGAAGAGAAAGCUGCUGUAACCUGGAGACCUCAGUCUGACCCUGAAAUACCCACAGAUGGAGACACAAACACCUCCACCUGCACCGUCUGCAGCAGGGAGGGAAACAUCCUGCUGAAGAAACAAGUGCUGCUCACUGUCAGGGCUCAGUGCUGUAGAUGCAGGUCAGAGGUCAGAGGUCAUGGUGGGACCAGUAUCAGUUUACUCCAUUUAAUCCAUUCAGCCUGUGGCUGAUAAUGUUUCUAAUAAUGACAAACUGGAAACACAACUUUACGAUUGUUUCUUUAACCUCAUAUUUCCUGAAGUAUUCAGACACUUAUUUGAAGCCCCUUCAGCAGGAAUCACAGCAGCAGCUGUUUUUGAUGCAACGAGCCUCGUCCACACCUGGAGUUUCUGUCCUUCUACUUUCUAAAUACUCACAGGCUCAGGCAGUGGGCUCACAAAGAGGGGGCUCUGAGCCCUUUAUCGUUUGCAGUGCUGAUGAACACUCUGAUGUUUGCAGACAAAGUUAUGAUCUGUAGUGAGAGUGAGGAGGAGAGUCUGCAGAGAAGAGAAAGUACAAACAAGGAGAGAUGAGGAGGAGGUCAGGGCUGAUUGAUUUAUGACAGGAGGAGAGCAGUAAGAGUGAAGAGGAGGAGAUGGCAGUGAGACCUGCUGUGAUGGAGACGGUGGCACACAGACAGGAGGAGCUGCAGGUGGCAGAGCUGAAGAUGCUGAGAGUUUGGUUGGAGCUGAGCAGCAUGGACAGGAUUAGAAAGAAGAAGAUCAGAGGGAUCGCUCAGGUCCAGCAGAGCUGCAGUCAGACUGUGUGCUGGAUGCUCCACUCCAGAAACUGACUCAGUGUGUGUGUCAAGUUCACACAGUGCAGAAACAAACAGCCUUCACUUUACAACAUGAUCACAGGUUUAUUGAUCCAUCAGAGCAGCUGGAAGGAAGAGACGAGCUCCUGAACAUUUCCUGAUGCUGCUGCAGAAACAAAGUGAUUCAUUAUUAGUUUGAUUAGAUCUUUAAUGUCACAGCUGUCUGAAACAUGCUGAUGUCACACAGUUUGAUCAGACUGUGCAUUGGUACAUAGUGUUGGUUUUACCUGCAUGAUUUUAUUGUCAUGUUUGUUUAUUGAUAUUUAAAUAUCAGGUUUUAUCCUGAUAUUGUGUGUUUUAGUGUUGUUGCACAAUAUUCUUUUAAUCCACUGUGGAUGCAAUCCACAGCAGGGCAGGGGUGUCCCUCUGCCUGCAUCUGGUGGUGCUACGACGGAGGCCGUGUUCAGGUGUGGAGUGGGGCGGGGCUGUGACGCGCUGUCAGGAGGAGACAGGUCUGUGACAGGAGCCCCGCCCCCUUGUUCUUCUGGCCGGCGUGGUUUCCAUCCUGGGAGAGAAAUUCCUCUCCUGUUUCAGAUAAGGAACAUUUGCCCGCGUGUGGCUGGUCUGUGGGAUUAUGGGAAUUUUAGCCUAUGGAAACAUUUGUUUAGCCUUUGUGUUGACAGUGUAGAGUUAUUUCUGCGGGCAGUGUUUUUAGCGUGUUGAGACUCUUUUUAUUGUAUAGGGGAUUUAACCUGUAACUCUGGUUGUGUCUGUUUCCAUGGAAAUAAAUGGUGUGUUUAAGGCCAACUUAGUGUCUGUGCCCUGAGCACUGACCCACUCACUCCCCUUCUACUUGUAUGUGAACGCACUUUGAGGUGCAGAUUUAGAUCCACCACUUUUAGCGGCUCCACUAACACUGAAGCCUCACACAGAAAGUCAUUUCCAUGUGCCGUUUAUUUACUUUCCGGCUCUUUGAAACUUCGCUGCCAAAUGUGGAGGAAAAGUUUUAUCUGUAGCUAUCUGCAGCAUGUAUAAACUGAUAUUAAUCUUUAACAGGGCUGUCAAAACUGAGAGCAAACAAAAGAACUGCUGUAUAAUGCCAUCCACCCACUUAGUUUAAUUGGUCACAUGACUGCAUCAUAUGACUAAAAUGCGUCAUUGUUUUCAAAGGGCUCAGUUUUUGCAGUCCAGAUUGCAACAUGAAAACUGCCUUUUCAAAAAGCUCAGUAUAUUAUAUCUCAGCUACAGCAGGACUGUGCGGUGACGCGCUGUCAGGAGGAGACAGGUCUGCGACAGGAGCCCCGCCCCCUUGUUCUUCUGGCCGGUGUGGUUUCCAUCCCGGAAGAGAAAUUCCUCUCCUGUUUCAGAUAAGGAACAUUUGCCCGCGUGUGGCUGGACUGUGGGAUUAUGGGAAUUUUAGCAUAUGGAAACAUUUGUUUAGCCUUUGUGUUGACAGUGUAGAGUUAUUUCUGCAGCAGGGUUUUAAGUGUGUUGAGACUCUUUUUAUUGUAUAGGGGAUUUAACCUGUAACUCUGGUUGUGUCUGUUUCCAUGGAAAUAAAUGGUGUGUUUAAGGCCAACUUAGUGUCUGUGCCCUGAGCACUGACCCACUCACUCCCCUUCUAUUUGUAUGUGAACGCACUUUGAGGUGCAGAUUUAGAUCCACCACUUUAAGCGGCUACACUAACACUCAGAGAGUCAGUUGGAGGUGGAGGAGGGGGCGGAGUCUGUCCGGCUGCCUGAGGACACUCAGGUGGAGUGGUGGCACCGUCCUGAGAAGCCUGACAAACAGCAGCAGCAUCACAGAGACCGAGUGAAAGAAAGACGAGCGUGUGAAAAGCGGACAGUUCAGCCUGACCCUUAAACACCCCACAGAGAGAGACAGAUACAGCUGUGUGGCCUGGAGCCAGGGAAACAUCAUCGGAUGGAGAGUCGUGCUGCUCACAGUUACAGGGACGGUUCAGGUCCAGGAUCAAACAUCAGGAACAGAAGCAGCUCCAUUGAUCCGACUCCUCUGAUGGCUGAUCAAUCAGUUUGAUCUGUUUGAUUAUUGAUCAGUGAUGUCAGAGUGGAGUCAGUGUGAUGAUCAGUUUAUGUCAGUAUGUCCAUGAAGGUUCUCCAUCAUCCAGGUCAUCGUAGUCGAAGGAGCUUGGAAAGAAAAGCGUCUGGACUUCUUUAAGUUGCUUGAAGACGUUUCACCUUCAUCUGAGAAGCUUCUUCAGUUCUAGGGCUUAAAUCUGGGACUCUUCAAAUGGUGAAGAGUCCCAGAUUUAACUCUGUUGGAGUGUCCCCCUAAGAUCCCUUCCCAGACGCCUUAACGCCCACUCACAUCCUGGGCCAUCUGACCUCAGGAAAUCCCAUGAUAGGGUGAGAGACAAGCUUGUAGACAAACAGCUUUUUACACUAUAAUUACCUGUUUGAGUCCAGUGAGUGUCAAUGACAGGAAAUCCUCACCUGGUGGUGAGUGAGAGAAACCACAGCAGAGACCUCUGUGUUUAAGAAAUGGAUGGUUAUGGUCGCUGAUGCUCUCAGCUGGCUCAGGUUUCACACCAGCACACAGGUACGAGUGCACAAGCUCCCACUGUGGAGUAGACACUACAGGGACUACAUGUGAACGCCUGUGGAACUGUUCACACAGACUGUGUAGUUACAGGAAGCUGCCAGCAGGUGGCAGCGACUAGCUGAACCUCCAGGCCGUGACAGCCAAAUCCAGAAACAACACUAACAAACAUAACAAGAAAACACAAACAAGAAGAAUGACCACUGACACAGGUCUCGGGAACAGUCACCAUUUCUGAUAAUCUUUAAUAACAUGAUGUUUACCAGGAAUGAGUAUCAGUUGUGAUUCAUCUGAGGUUAGCUGGGCUCUUGUUAACCAACCAACUCUGAGAUGCUUGGAGGAAAGGUUGUACUUUGCUGAGUUGGCUUCAUUAGCCAUGAAGAAAAGACUAGCUGGUCAGCUGGAUUGUUGUCGGUAGACACAGGCUUCCAUUGUCUUACUCUAGUGAACUGUUUGAUCUGUUCUUUUCAAACCAUAGAUGGCCACCGCUGGAGAUUGACCACUGCCAGCUUCAUCUGAAACUCAAGGUUGAGGUCACAAAACCACAAGACAGAAAUAAUCCCAAGGUUUUUCUUUGCCCAAGAAGCUGUGGAACAUUUGCUGAAUGUCAGUUAUACUGCAAAGGGUUUGCACUUGAAACAUACAAGCAAACUGUUAUUUAGACCUGAGCCUGGCGUAGCACAUGAAAAAGGGACAUAGUAUUGUACUGAGCACUGAAGUUACACUCAGUAGCACAGGAACAGAGCGGGAGGGAGAGAGAGAGAGCCAGGGACAACAACGUCACAUUAGAAAGGUAUAGUAAUCAUCCACAACUAUUUUCAGUUGCAGAUCAUAAAGGAUUCAGAAAGUUUAUUCAUGCAGGCCCAUAUGACAGAGAAUAUGCAUCUUCUUUUUGUUUUCAUAUUUUAAUUUAUAUUUAAUUGUGUUGUGGUUUGCAGUGUUUUGUGUUGUUUCACUUUACAUUGGUUUAAAAGGAAAAAGCUGAAAAUUUAAAUAGUUAAAAGUUGAAAAGUUGGUUUUUGUAUUAUAUGAUUUAUUCAGUACAUUUUAUCUGGAGUGAAUAAAUAAAAGUAUAUUUGCGGUGGCCCCUACAGACAAAGCAGCACGUACAAACUCCAAAACAUGUACAAACACAACAGAAGUGCUCCAGGAUGCGCAGUGUUGAGCUUUUGUUACCUAGUGGCUACACAAGCCAGCAAGUACCAACAACCGGAUUUGGUGUGUGGUAGUAACAGGUAAAUGAACUUUUUUUUUAAAUUAUUUGAAUAUAUAUGAGUGCUUGUGUAUAAAUACACAAACAAUACACAUAUGCUUUCAACUGUGUAAUUUAAGUGAUCUAGGUAGCUCUGUUUUGGAAGUUCAGUUCAUGCUACAAAUGUGUUUUGGAGUUUGUACGUGCUUUGUCUCUAGGGGCCAUUUAAACAUAUAUGUAUAUAAACAUAUAUAAAUAAAAACACUUUUUUAACAUUAGUAAUUCCUUUUGUGCAUAAUUUUAUAUUAUUGUUAAUAAUAAAUUAAUUAAAGCAACAAAACAACUGAAGAGCCAGUUCUCUGGUCCCCUCCCCAAUCAGACCAGGAGUGACAUGUUUAGCCGCAUGUUCUCCUUAAAUUGCUGGCUGUCUGAGUGGUGUCCCAGAAACGAUGUGGGCUUCAUAGAUAAUUGGCAAACCUUCUGGAGGAAACC